UGGGCUCACAUUUGUUAAUGGAAAAUCUGCUCUGAGCAAGCUGCUUAAGAAGUCUAAAUAUAGGCCAAGUCUGUGAUGCGGACAGGAUCUCAAGAAUGUAAAGCAAACUGCUUGUGGGUGUGUGGGCUUUUGCUAAAGGUGCAGCAAUCCCGCAUCAAUCAACACUUCAUAUUUGCAGACCAUCAUUUAAAAAUCUGUCAUUUUCAGCCAGGUUUAAUUCAUCAUCUAUUACUCAAGCAUAUGAGUUACAAGGCAAGUGAUGGGAUUCCACCGAGAAUACAGCUUUAACAACACCGUACUAUUCUGCAGAACGGCCACUUAACUAUUACAUGAAAGAAAAAGUUCAUUACGUUGCAAUCUAAUCCUUAAAGUGUUGGUAUUUGGAGAUGGAGCCUUUGGGUUUCACCCUCAUGAAUGGGAGCAGUACCCUUAUAAAGGAGACCCAAGAGAGCUCCCUCACGCCUUCACCACGCAAGGACACAGUGACAAGACGGUCAGCUGUGAACUAGGAAGGAGGCCCUCGUCAGACCCUGACUCUGCCGGUGCCCUGAUCUUGGCUUUCCCAGCCUCCAGAACUGUGAGGAAUACAUUUCUGCUGUGUAUAAGCCCCCCAGUCCAUGGUACUUUGUUAUGGCAGCUUGAAUGGACCGAGACAACAAAGCAUCAAAAAGUUAACUAUGUCUUUAAAAUUUCAAAAAAAUAUAUUCACUGAAUUCAUUAAUUCCAUUCAUUCAUUCAUUCAACAAAUAUUAAGACUACUCAGUAGAAGGUAAUGUAUUAGGCCCCAGGGAUAAAGGUAUGAAAAAAGCCAGUUCCUACUUUCAAAGAGGUUGGGGAAUCAAGGGAGGCUUUACAGAGCAAAAGCCGGACAGCUGCAGGCGGCAGGGGCGGUGCAUGACCCGAGUCUUG
Long non-coding RNA from Manis javanica (Malayan pangolin), 909 nucleotides. RefSeq lists it as uncharacterized. NCBI's taxonomy places the organism in Eukaryota, Metazoa, Chordata, Mammalia, Pholidota, Manidae. The record is from RefSeq and is a predicted model, not a curated record.